RNAcentral lists this ribosomal RNA (576 nucleotides) under Pantoea stewartii. RNAcentral's name for it is "bacterial SSU rRNA". It matches the Rfam family "Bacterial small subunit ribosomal RNA", at positions 68 to 636 of the family's 1533-position model. The record is from RNAcentral. Lineage: Bacteria; Pseudomonadati; Pseudomonadota; Gammaproteobacteria; Enterobacterales; Erwiniaceae.
AGCACAGAGGAGCUUGCUCCUCGGGUGACGAGUGGCGGACGGGUGAGUAAUGUCUGGGAAACUGCCCGAUGGAGGGGGAUAACUACUGGAAACGGUAGCUAAUACCGCAUAACGUCGCAAGACCAAAGUGGGGGACCUUCGGGCCUCACACCAUCGGAUGUGCCCAGAUGGGAUUAGCUUGUAGGCGGGGUAACGGCCCACCUAGGCGACGAUCCCUAGCUGGUCUGAGAGGAUGACCAGCCACACUGGAACUGAGACACGGUCCAGACUCCUACGGGAGGCAGCAGUGGGGAAUAUUGCACAAUGGGCGCAAGCCUGAUGCAGCCAUGCCGCGUGUAUGAAGAAGGCCUUCGGGUUGUAAAGUACUUUCAGCGGGGAGGAAGGUGNUGAGGUUAAUAACCUCAGCAAUUGACGUUACCCGCAGAAGAAGCACCGGCUAACUCCGUGCCAGCAGCCGCGGUAAUACGGAGGGUGCAAGCGUUAAUCGGAAUUACUGGGCGUAAAGCGCACGCAGGCGGUCUGUUAAGUCAGAUGUGAAAUCCCCGGGCUUAACCUGGGAACUGCAUUUGAAACUGG